RNA transcript from Hyla sarda, 4851 nucleotides. RefSeq lists it as uncharacterized. The transcript is spliced from 5 exons. The record is from RefSeq and is a predicted model, not a curated record. NCBI's taxonomy places the organism in Eukaryota, Metazoa, Chordata, Amphibia, Anura, Hylidae.
UUCACUUGCACUUUUGUGGCACUUUUCACUAUUCUAUUAUAAUUAAUGAAAAACAUGAAAAGUAUAUAUAUUAUUUUCAAAAAAUAUUUUUUUCCCUGCAAUGGGGAUUGAACCCCCUACGGGGUUGGUGUGUGUACAUGCCUGACCGCUGCACUGCCUCCACUCUAUGAGCGGCCUUGAUAUAUCUUGUAAUCUGACACAUGCAUACAUACACGGUGCGCUCCCUUCCGAGCUUUGUCCUCUGUAUUUUCUUAUUCUCUUUUUCUCUAUUUUUUUGUUUUUAAUGGCGCCUCUCUUCUCCAUCUUCCACUACCUGAUUAUUUCAGGCACGAUAUGCUUUUAUAUCCGCGCGUGUCUUUUUCGGAUCCUAAUACCUUUAUUCUUGGUGCGCACCGCGCGUGCGCGGGUUAUUCCCUCUGUCUCGCGGGAUGACGAUGGUGGACGCACCUUGUCAUCGCGCACGCGCGAUGCGCACCAAGAUGGCGCCAGAUAUCGGGACCAUGUCACCGAUCCAGGUGAACUAUAUUGUAAUUAUUUACCUAUAGAUCCCUAUUGGUUGGUAUGUUGUAUAUAUACCCCCACAAACUAGACUAGGUCAUACUCCCUGAGGAAGCCAAACGGCGAAACGACGUUGGGGUACUGGUGUUGUGUAGGUAGGUACACUGUCUAUGUCUUCCAGCCUGUGCUCUGUGAGUGGGGAAGUUCUCUGGGUAUGCUUAUCCACUGUGCUUUAACUGCACAUCUUUACUUUCCUUUCCCCUUUCUCCUGACCACUCGCUGGAGGCUAUAUAUGCAGUGACCUUCUUUUCUAGGUUAGGUUUGCUUUGUGGUGCAAUUCUUUAUAGGACUGUGAUGUGUAACUUAUAAUUAUUGUUAUACUGGUGGCUCUACUGUAUAGUUAAGAAUAACUAUGUCAUAUUUUGCACCUUUGUAGCCAUACUAACCAAUAAUAUAUUACCUGCCUUAUCAACUCCUUUUUUGUCUGGCUAUACUGUCCCUUUUAAUUGUUUUUACUAAAUGAUGUUCUCAAUAAAGUUUUCUAUUUGUGUAUAAAAUUGGUGUUCCAGUGUGUAUAUAGGAUUUAUUUUUAGUCAUCAACACACUCGACUUUAAAUAUACUGGUAUUAUUUUGCCCUUUCUUUGGAUUUAUUAUUGAUUUCCUGUAUCUUUACAGAAGGUUUGUCCAUCAUGGACUUUCGGGCUAAGGAAGCUUCUUGGUUGGAGCAGGCUAAUCUUUUAUUCUCUGGGACAGCGAUAGCCAGUAAUGAUCCGGAUCAGUGCAAUAUUAGAGAACUGAAACAAUCUCUAAGGAAUCUAUCACACCGACAGAUGAAGACCUGGUGGAACCGGGCCUCUUUGGAGAACUACCUACAUAAACAUCUAAUACCUCGAGGACUACGAGUACAGAUUUUUCCCUCUUUUGGCCUUGACCAAGAAGUCUAUGUUAAGAAGUGGGAAGAGGCAUGCAAUACUUGUUCCAGGACACUCAUGAUGAUCAUCAUGGAACAUAAUACACAGGUACUCAUGGAGCUAGGUAUACAAAUUGAGAAGACAGAGACAGAUAUUGCUGCCAUCCUGCCAAAUAAUGACUACCCAUCAUUCAAGCAAGACUUGGAGGAAUCCCAAACCAUCUGGGAAAAACAAAUUAAGGCUACAAAAUCAAAAAAAUUCUUAAGAGACUCUAAUGACUUCUCUAAUAACAAGGUGUAUAAGUGGAAACGGGGUCCAGUGGAGAGACGACAAAGAUCACCUUCAGUCUCAUCAUCCGUUUCCACAGGAGUGGAAUCUGUGGCGUCAUCCAGGUCCUCUGCGAGAAAUGCACAAUAUGAUGGGAGACGACGCAACUACCGCAACAAAGCAAACACAAGAAAUGAAAGGCAGGAGAGAGUCAACACCAGGAGCAACGAUACUAACCGUAAGCGGUAAAAGAUCUGCAAUUAUUCGCACGGAAAUUAAUCUUUAAGAAACUGUUUCAUCCCUCCCCUAUACAAGCACCUUUAUCUUCAGCUCAGGCACCAGCAUCUCCCAAUACGAUCGCAGAAACUGAGGCACUACAAGCUCUUCAAGAUCUCCUAGAAGAACAGGAUACAUCAAAUACGGGAUACCACAGAUAUCCUAAAAAGAAUGGACGAUGUUCAAUUGGACAACGAAACCCUUCUGGUCACCUGUGAUGUGGAAGCUCUGUAUACAUCAAUCAGACACACGGAUGGAUUGGCGGCAACCCAAUUUUACCUUAUGAUGUCGGAUUUAGAUCCAGAACUGAGUGAGUUCAUUUUACAACUUCUUCAGUUCGCAUUAAUGCAUAACUUCUUUUUGUUCAGGGAUGUGGUCUUCCUACAGCUCCAGGGAACGGCGAUGGGGGCGGCCUGUGCGCCCUCAUACGCCAACCUUUUCCUGGGGCUGUGGGAGAGGACCAUAUUCAUGACUGAACCCGCCCCCCAUAUUGAAAAAGUUCUACAGUGGGGCCGCUAUAUAGAUGACAUUCUCUUUGUCUGGCAGGGCACGGCAGAAGAGUUGUCCACAUUUAUGACAUAUCUGAACACUAAUGAACUAAACAUAAAAUUGACCUAUAAAUGGGGGAGGUCGAAAAUGGAGUUCCUGGAUGUAUUGUUUGAUGUUGACCAAGAUGGGUAUAUCUCAACAGAUGUGUAUCGCAAAAAAACCUCUACCAAUACUCUUCUUCACGCUUCCUCUUCUCACCCCCAUGCACUUGUCUCCAAUAUCCCGACAGGUCAGUUCCUGCGAAUCCGACGGAUUUGUUCCACGGAUGAACACUUUGAAAAACAGGCUAAUGAUCUAUCUCUACGCUUUCAGGAACGGGGAUAUCAUGAAAGGGAUAUCACCAGAGGCUAUGCACGAGCUAAGGAUACACUACGAGGCAAUCUGCUUACCCAGUCCAAAAAGAAAAAGGGAAAUGACCAGGAGUGAUCUACUACGCCACCUGUCCUUGUAACAUGAUUUAUGUUGGACUUACCUGCAGGGAAUUCCGUCGGAGAAUACGGGAACAUGUCCUAGGAAUUGAAGCAGCCAAGGAGGAAAUAGAUCUACAGAAGCUAAAAACCAUACCCCGCCACUUUCGUCAGUACCAUGAUUGCAACAGUACCCUCUUCAAGGGUUUCAAAAUUGGUCUCGUAUCCAAAAGAGUCUGGAAAUUUGAAGAGAGCAUUGAUGACCAUCAGCAGCAAAGCACUUGUCACUUUAUUGAGUAGAGCCACCAGUAAUCGGGUAUUAUAGGAAUUAUUGCUAUACAUAGUAUUGUUGAAUAAAAUUAUUGAUAUAUAUUCCUCUGUCUUUGGAGGUGUUGAUUAACAGUUGUUUUGUCUGAUACACUUCGACAUAUAUACAUACAGCCACUAAUUAUCUAAUUCUUAUACAUAAUAAAUGUUUAUAUUGUUCAUUCACCUCUAGUACACGAUAGGCUAUGGGGUACAUCACUUUUCCCAUUCAACAUCACUAACACCCAAGUCCGCACAUAUACUAUUUGUAUCUACUUUAUAAACUACUUUUAUAUACGUCAAGCAUUCACUAUACACUUUAAUAAAUCACAUAUCUUCACUUAUACACACUUAUCACUUUAACCCCCCUUAUUUCGCUUUUUUUAGCGAAGAAUUCAGUCAGCAACACUACAACAUUAGGUUCAUUAUUUUGUAUGUGUCACCUUUUUUGCACUGUUUUUUUCACUUUUUCUCUCAUUUUCCUCUGCAUGUCUCACUUUUAUUCACUUGCACUUUUGUGGCACUUUUCACUAUUCUAUUAUAAUUAAUGAAAAACAUGAAAAGUAUAUAUAUUAUUUUCAAAAAAUAUUUUUUUCCCUGCAAUGGGGAUUGAACCCCCUACGGGGUUGGUGUGUGUACAUGCCUGACCGCUGCACUGCCUCCACUCUAUGAGCGGCCUUGAUAUAUCUUGUAAUCUGACACAUGCAUACAUACACGGUGCGCUCCCUUCCGAGCUUUGUCCUCUGUAUUUUCUUAUUCUCUUUUUCUCUAUUUUUUUGUUUUUAAUGGCGCCUCUCUUCUCCAUCUUCCACUACCUGAUUAUUUCAGGCACGAUAUGCUUUUAUAUCCGCGCGUGUCUUUUUCGGAUCCUAAUACCUUUAUUCUUGGUGCGCACCGCGCGUGCGCGGGUUAUUCCCUCUGUCUCGCGGGAUGACGAUGGUGGACGCACCUUGUCAUCGCGCACGCGCGAUGCGCACCAAGAUGGCGCCAGAUAUCGGGACCAUGUCACCGAUCCAGGUGAACUAUAUUGUAAUUAUUUACCUAUAGAUCCCUAUUGGUUGGUAUGUUGUAUAUAUACCCCCACAAACUAGACUAGGUCAUACUCCCUGAGGAAGCCAAACGGCGAAACGACGUUGGGGUACUGGUGUUGUGUAGGUAGGUACACUGUCUAUGUCUUCCAGCCUGUGCUCUGUGAGUGGGGAAGUUCUCUGGGUAUGCUUAUCCACUGUGCUUUAACUGCACAUCUUUACUUUCCUUUCCCCUUUCUCCUGACCACUCGCUGGAGGCUAUAUAUGCAGUGACCUUCUUUUCUAGGUUAGGUUUGCUUUGUGGUGCAAUUCUUUAUAGGACUGUGAUGUGUAACUUAUAAUUAUUGUUAUACUGGUGGCUCUACUGUAUAGUUAAGAAUAACUAUGUCAUAUUUUGCACCUUUGUAGCCAUACUAACCAAUAAUAUAUUACCUGCCUUAUCAACUCCUUUUUUGUCUGGCUAUACUGUCCCUUUUAAUUGUUUUUACUAAAUGAUGUUCUCAAUAAAGUUUUCUAUUUGUGUAUAAAAUUGGUGUUCCAGUGUGUAUAUAGGAUUUAUUUUUAGUCAUCAACACACUCGACUUUAAAUAUACUGGUAUUAUUUUGCC